UACGUAGGAGACUAGCGUUGUCCGGAAUUACUGGGUGUAAAGCGCGUGUAGGCGGCAUACCAAGUCUGUUGUGAAAUCGCCCGGCUCAACUGGGCGGGGUCAAUGGAAACUGGUAAGCUGGAGGACGGUAGAGGCGAGUGGAAUUCCCGGUGUAGUGGUGAAAUGCGUAGAGAUCGGGAGGAACACCUGUGGCGAAGGCGGCUCGCUGGGCCGAUCCUGACGCUGAGACGCGAAGGCGUGGGGAGCGAACAGG
This 253-nucleotide ribosomal RNA is filed under the name uncultured bacterium. Its description in RNAcentral is "partial 16S ribosomal RNA". It matches the Rfam family "Bacterial small subunit ribosomal RNA", at positions 524 to 776 of the family's 1533-position model. The record is from RNAcentral.